GUGUCAGCAGCCGCGGUAAUACGUAGGGUGCGAGCGUUGUCCGGAAUUACUGGGCGUAAAGAGCUCGUAGGCGGUUUGUCACGUCGUCUGUGAAAUCCUAGGGCUUAACCCUGGACGUGCAGGCGAUACGGGCUGACUUGAGUACUACAGGGGAGACUGGAAUUUCUGGUGUAGCGGUGGAAUGCACAGAUAUCAGGAAGAACACCGAUGGCGAAGGCAGGUCUCUGGGUAGUAACUGACGCUGAGGAGCGAAAGCAUGGGUAGCGAACAGGAUUAGAUACCCUGGUAGUCCAUGCCGUAAACGGUGGGCGCUAGGUGUGGGGUUCCUUCCACGGGCUCCGCGCCGUAGCUAACGCAUUAAGCGCCCCGCCUGGGGAGUACGGCCGCAAGGCUAAA
RNAcentral lists this ribosomal RNA (396 nucleotides) under uncultured bacterium. RNAcentral's name for it is "bacterial SSU rRNA". It matches the Rfam family "Bacterial small subunit ribosomal RNA", at positions 505 to 898 of the family's 1533-position model. The record is from RNAcentral.